AAUGAACGUUGGCGGCGUGGAUUAGGCAUGCAAGUCGAGCGCUCAUCAGCAAUGGUGGGAGCGGCGAACGGCGUAGUAAUGCAUCGGAACGUACCCUCUGGACGGGGAUAGCCACGGGAAACUGUGGGUAAUACCCGAUAAUCUCUGCGGAGCAAAGGUGUGAUUCCGCCGGAGGAGCGGCUGAUGUGAUAUUAGCUAGUUGGUGGGGUAAAGGCCUACCAAGGCGAUGAUGUCUAGGGGGUGUGAGAGCAUGGCCCCCACGACCGGAACUGAGAUACUGUCCGGACACCUACGGGUGGCUGCAGUCGGGAAGUCUUCCGCAAUGGACGAAAGUCUGACGGAGCGACGCCGCGUGCGGGAGUGAAGGCCCUUGGGUUGUAAACCGACUGUCAGAGGGGAGUGAAAGUACGUCGGGGGUACGUCCCCCGACUGUUGACAGAGCCUCAAAGGAAGCAC
This 456-nucleotide ribosomal RNA is filed under the name uncultured bacterium. Its description in RNAcentral is "bacterial SSU rRNA". It matches the Rfam family "Bacterial small subunit ribosomal RNA", at positions 29 to 493 of the family's 1533-position model. The record is from RNAcentral.